This 69-nucleotide transfer RNA is filed under the name Phalera grotei. RNAcentral's name for it is "tRNA-Glu". Lineage: Eukaryota; Metazoa; Arthropoda; Insecta; Lepidoptera; Notodontidae. The record is from RNAcentral.
UUUUAUAUAGUUUAAAUUAAAACCUUACAUUUUCAUUGUAAAAAUAAAAAAAUUUUUUUAUAAAAAAUA